RNA transcript from Lolium perenne, 3485 nucleotides. RefSeq lists it as uncharacterized. NCBI's taxonomy places the organism in Eukaryota, Viridiplantae, Streptophyta, Magnoliopsida, Poales, Poaceae. The record is from RefSeq and is a predicted model, not a curated record.
CGCGGUAACCAGGCCACUCGUUCUUGCCCCCACUCUUGCGAUCCCCGAAGCUUCCCGCCGAAGGAAUGUGCUGGUGCACGGCUCUCGCCGCCGCGCCCAUCACCAGCGGCCGGUGGCCUCCGCCCUCCUCCGUCCGCCUCCACCGCCGCCGACAAAGCUCCAUCCGGGCAGACGCGCCUCCCGGGGGCGAGCCGCGGCGGAAGAAGGUCGCCGUCGCCGGCGCCGGGUGGGCGGGCCUCGCCGCUGCGCACCACCUCGUCAAACAGGGAUACGAUGUUACGCUUUUCGCGGCGGACAGCGGCCCAAGGGAGGAGGUCGGUCUCAGAGGGUUCUGGUAUCCAUACCGAAACAUUUUCUCACUAGUCGAUGAGCUGGGGAUCUCCCCUUUCACGGGGUGGACUAAAGCGGCGUACUAUUCUCCACAAGGACUUGCCGCCGAAUUCCCCGUGUUCCAUGACCAGCCUCGAUUGCCAGCUCCCUUUGGAAUCUUUGCGUAUCCUGAAUUCCCCAGUCUUCCUCUGAUUGAUAGAUUGACAUCAAUUCCUGUCCUAUCUGCAGUCAUUGACUUCGACAAUACAGACACUGCCUGGAGGAAGUACGAUACAAUAACUGCAAGAGAGCUUUUCAAAAUGUUCGGGUGCUCUCAAAGACUCUACAAGGAAAUUUUUGAACCAGCUAUUCAGGCUGCCCUGUUUGCUCCUGGUGAGCAAUGUAGUGCAGCUGCAACAUUGGGGAUGUUGUACUAUUAUAUGCUCUCCCACCAGGAAAACUCUGAUUUUGUGUUGUGCCGUGGGGAAGUAGAAGAUGCCAUUUUCUCUCCUUGGCUAAAAUCACUAGAACUAAAAGGCAUAAAAUUCAUUGCAAAUAGAGUUCCUACAAGUUUGACGAUAAAUGAGGACACCGAAUGUGUCUCUGAAGUUGUCUGUGGUGAGGAGGUAUAUGACGCAGAUGCAUUUGUUUUGGCCACUGGACUCUCACCUCUACAAUCUAUCAUUCGGAACAGUCCGUUUCUACAGUCAAGACAAGAAUUCACUGAUCUUCUGCAUCUGUCAACAGUUGACGUGAUCACCGUAAAAUUAUGGUUUGAUAAAAAGGUCACAGUUCCAAAGGUCGCUAACAUUUGUUCCAGCUAUGAUGAUUUAUCUGGCUGGACAUUCUUUGACCUAACCUCUGUAUACGAUGAUUACAGUGACAAACCAGGAACAGUUGUGGAGGCUGAAUUUUAUAAUGGUAGCCAUCUUUUCCCACUGAAUGAUAAACAGAUUGUUUCUGAAGCUUCAUCACGACUUAUUAAAUGUAUAGGCGAUUUUGAGGGGGCCACUGUGAUCCAGCAAUUUGUCAGAAGAUCUCCUGGAUCCGCAAUGCAUUUUCUUCCAGGUUCUUACAAGCACACAGUGCGGGGAACAACAUCCGUUCCAAAUUUGUUUAUUGCCGGUGAUUGGAUAGUCAACCGACAUGGGUCCUUCUCAAAGGAAAAAGCGUAUGUGACUGGACUUGAAGCCGCUAAUAUGACGGUGGACUAUUUUGGCGAUGGAGACUUCGCUAAAAUCAUUGCAGUUGAAGGAGAUGAGCCUCAUAUAGAGACAGUGCGUGAUCUCAACAGAAGAACCAAUGAGCUGAAGACUCAGAUUCCUUUCUCAGAGUUUUUUCUCCCAUGAAAUGAUUGCAAUUUUCCUAGGCCAUCAUCAUACAACUCAUUCAUAAAAGUGCCGUUAUCAUGCAACUUAUAUAUAAAAGGAAAAAGUGUUCUGAAAUAUGGCAGCAUUGCUUGUCUAUAUAAAAUUAUACAUACACAUUAGCAAAGCAACUUGCUCCUGAGUUGUAAUUUACAGUUUGCUUCUUUGUGGUAUACAUUAAAAUAUCUCUAUACAACUCCAUUCAUCAAGAGGCCCUAGUUUCCUCAGGUAUAUAUUCCUUUCCUCAUCAUUUCCACAAACUCUUCAUAGUCGAUAUUCCCGUCCUGUGAAUUUAACAACAACAGUGGUCAAAUAUGUUAGAUGGCACUAAGCUGGGAAAAAAAGCUCACCUUAUCUUUGUCAACUUCAUCCAGUACUUCUUUAAUAUUUGCUUCAUCACCCAUUCCAUACUCUGUCAUGGCUUGUUCAAGUUCUUCUCUUGAUAUGUACCUACAGUUAUUAUUAUGCACGCAGAGUUAACCACCAUCACACACCCUCCCUUGAGUUGUUAUGUCCAAGCAGAAAAUAAUGCAAGAACGGCAUGCAUUAUCGCAUUUUUUUUAUAACAUUGAAUAAAAGAGCUGGUACAUAAAUUGACUCCAGAAGUUUAGCAUUGGUUAACUUUGUAACUCUUAAUAUAUGGUGAUGCGUGUAAGAUAAAAUAUAUUUGGUAGUUAGCAGAAUUAGUAUUACCCGCUGUUGUCUUUGUCAAAGUGUUGAAAUGCAAGGAGCAAAUCCUCCUCCUUUUCCAGCUUAUGUUUAUUCAUCAUAGCAGUGAGGAAUUCCGUGUAAUCUAUGCUGCCACUCUUGUCUACAUCCACCUGAAUCACAGUAUGGUCAGUGAAAUCUUGAUACACUUAACGUAUGGUGAAAGAGUCAAACAAACUAGAAGUUAUCUUACUGCUUCCAUAAGCUUCUGAACCUCUGCUUCACUAAUCUUUGAUCCUAACUUUGUCAAACCAAUCUUCAGUUCUUCAACUGUGAUUGUCCCACUCUUGUCUGUAUCCAUGUUAUUGAACAUCUGUUUUAGUCCCUUGAUUUCCUCUGGUGAUAGGUUCUCUGCAAUUACCUUGAGAUGCAAUGAAAAGGGCAGUGCUGUCAGCUUUUAAUUAUACGAAGACAAAGUAGCAGUCAUCUUUGUCAAGGAGGAUUCACCUUGAGCGCUAGUUGUUUUAGCUUGUUCAUCGCCUUGAAUUGCUUCAUCCUUAAUAGGACUGCGCUAUCGAUAGGUCUGUCAGAUGCACCACCCUUUAGCCAUGGAUGUUCUGCACAGGGAGACGUUGAUUUAUCGGGGUGACAUAUAAAUUAUACAAAUGCAGAAAGAGAUCUACAUGCAUAACCCCAGGCUGUGUACUACCUAGGGCCUGUACUGCAGUAAUACGCUUCUGGGGAUCUCUGUUUAGCAUUUGCCUGAUAAGAUCUUUCGCGCUUUCAGAUAUCGUCGGCCACGGGCUGCUGCUGAAAUCAAGUUGGCCCACCAGUAUAGCAUCAAAUAUGCCCUUCUCCGUUUCUGCUCAGAUUUGCAACAUUUAGUCCGGGAUGUAUACAGUACAGUAUGUUAAGCUGAAGAUGUAUGGAAAUGUACCUCCCCAGAAAGGCGGCGACCCACAUAAGAGAAUAUACAAGAUCACUCCAGCGCUCCAGACGUCGAUCUCUUUCCCAUAAUUUCUAUGUAAAACUUCUGGUGCCACAUAGUAUGCACUUCCUACAAUGUCCUUGUACACCUUUCCUGCAUUUAUCGAGGAAAAGAUGGCAUAUGUAGUAUGGAAUGCUGAGCUUAAUUGUUAAUGUGAAUUCUUCUUCCUCGAA